GUGUCCAAGGAUGGGAAUCGAACCCACAGUAAUCCGCUUACCGGGCAGAUGCCAUGUCCACUAGGUAAUUGACCA
This 75-nucleotide transfer RNA is filed under the name Cordylochernes scorpioides. RNAcentral's name for it is "tRNA-Thr". Lineage: Eukaryota; Metazoa; Arthropoda; Arachnida; Pseudoscorpiones; Chernetidae. The record is from RNAcentral.